This 22239-nucleotide long non-coding RNA is filed under the name Capsicum annuum. RNAcentral's name for it is "long non-coding RNA (CANN_LNC013782)". Lineage: Eukaryota; Viridiplantae; Streptophyta; Magnoliopsida; Solanales; Solanaceae. The record is from RNAcentral.
AUUUUUUUUUCCUAAUAAUGUCUUAAUGUGGAAUGCUUUGUAAACCAGACUACCUAAUCCCAAGUACUAGUAGUUCUACUUCUUUAAGUCGGGUAGAAGGGGUGAGGAGAAGAGAGAGAGAAAGAAUGAAGUUCUUGUUCCAAUGUCCAUGCUGUUCUUGUUUCUGUUUCAUGAAGCCCCAAAAGGGCAAACCAAAAGCAAAAGUGGAAGAAGCAAAACCAAAAGCCAAAGUGGAAGAAGCAAAACCUAAAGAUAAGAAGGUGGAAGAAGCAAAACCAAAAGAGAAAGAAGAAAGCACGCCAGAAUGAAAGCAUAGAGGACAUGGGAUGAUGAUGCAGUUAUACUGUUCUGAUGCAAGUAAUAUUGUUCUUCAUUUACUUAAUUUACUUCUAGUCAUAAUUUAUGGUGUGCAGUCUUUUAACUCUUUUGAAAAAAGCACCUCCUAAAUAUUGUAAUCGUAUGACAAAAUAUUUGCACUUUAUUCUCUCUGAAAUGCAAACCUAGUCUUCAUUAUUAUGUAUGUUUAGAUCCUUUGUCGCACUCAUGUUGGAUUCUCAAAAAAUACAUACUUUUUAAAAGAUACAAUGUAGAAAUUUUGAAGUAUAUGAGAAACAUAACUUGUUAAUAGUUAGAUUUCUCUUAACUAAAUUCCUCAAAUGAUUAUCAAAUUUAGAGUUUUUUUUCCCUUUAAAGGUCAAACAAAAAAUUAUUUUUUGUUAGUGUAAAGUCACUCGAAAUGAAGAUAGAAUCUCAAAAAAUAACUAUAGAUAGAAAAAACACAUAAGCAACUUUUUUAUACUAUACGAAUCCAAGCGAUAAAAGGCUAAAGUGAAUCCUCAACAACAAUUUCAAUUUUAAGAAAGAUGACAUGAUGAUUGACUACGGGGACAGGGCAUAUCUCAUUCAGAGUGUGUUUUAUUGAAAAUUUGGUACUUUAAAUUUCCGUUUUGUCAGUAGAUUGCAGAUACACAAUGGCAUCUGCACUAAACAUACAUCUUGAACAAGUAAUAUAUUCAAGUCUUUUAUUUUUUUAUUUUAAAUAAAGGCUGUUAAUUAAUCAAGAUCAGAAGACACAUAAUCCUGAUCACUUGAUCUAUUAAUUAAGACAAAAUUUAUUGCGACUUAGUAAGCUUCAUUUGUAUAUGAAUAUAAAAUCACUACUUGAAACUACAAAUUUGGGUAAGGGUUGAUUUGAAGUUGAAAUUAUGUUUGGAUAUAUAAUUUAACUUUCAAAAAUUACUAUUUUUUCUUAUAAAUUUGAAAAAAAAUUCUCAGAAAUUGUGAAAUCUAUGAAUUUUUUUUCAAACUCCUUUAUAAUCUUAUAAAAGAAGCAAAUGAUAAGUCAUAAAUCCAAGGUAUUGGAAUAUCCUAAGGCAACACAUUAGUAUUUAACAUAGAUUUCAUGUCCCUUUUAUAAAAAUUUGCUUGUAAAUACGUGUUGUUAUAAAUGUUGAAAUGCAUAUAACUUCAGAAAGAUCCACUAAUUCAAUAAAUUAACAAUAGUACUCUUAGGUGUCGUUUGGUUUGAAAAUGGUUAUCCCGCGAUAAUUAAUACCGGAAUUAGUUAUCCCGGGAUUACCCGGGAUAACUUAUUGUUAAAAUUGAUCUUGGGCCUAACUCACACCUCAAAAGCUAGCUCAUGAGGAGGAGAAUUGCCCAAGCCUUAUAAAGAGAUCACCCAUCUCAUUAACCACCAAUGUGAGACUUUCUUUUCAAUCUUUUUAACAACCCACCUCACGCCCAGACCUCAACUGGCCGUUGACAAUACCAUGUUAAAAUUGGGCUUGAGCCUAACUCACACCUCAAAAGUUAGCUCAUGAGGAGGAGGGCCCCCAAAUUGAGAUGUCGGGGAGAUUGUCCACGCCCAGUUGAGGUCUGGGCCCCAGUUAAGGUGUGGGCGUGAGGUGGGUUGUUAAAAAAAUUGAAAAGAAAGUCCCAAAUUGAUGGUUAAUGAGAUGGGUGAUCUCUUUAUAAGGCUUGAAUAAUCCUUUUCCUCGUGAGCUAGCUUUUGAGGUGUGAGUUAGGACCAAGACCAAUUUUAACACUUAUCCCCACCAUGUAUAUGAGAUAAGUUAUCCCGGGACUAAGGGGAAAAUGGUGGAAUAAGUUAUCCCGGGUUGGAUUAAUCCCUCCAAGCAAACAAAGGAAAAUGUGUUCUUUUAUUUUAUCCCGGGAUAAUUAGUUAUCCCAGGAUAAUUAGUUAUCCCGGGAUAACCAUUUUCAAACUAAACGAACCCUUAGUACCAACAUCGAUUGUGGUGUAGUGGUAGGACUAUUCCACCCUUAGCCAGAGAUCUCGGGUUCGAGUAUAAGUAUGGAGAAAUUUUGGUUGGGAGUGUCACCCUCAAAAUGGGCCCUAUAAUGUGCGAUCCGAAUUAGUCGGAGCUUCAAUACGAAAACCGAACACUAGGUGGAAAACAAAAAAGAAUAGUGCGUGGUCCUAGUAACAAUCUAUUCCAUAAUAUAAUCAUUCGAACAAUCAAUUCACAUCGAGUACUUGUCUAGUUUUACAAAUUUCAAAAUUACAAACUUUUUUCUCGCAAAAUUAAAAUUAUGGAUCAAGUUUUGAUUUCUACAAUAAUUAAAACCAUAAAUCUGAAAUUGAAAUCUACCCUUUAGGUUAAUUUGAUAUUUGAAAACAACAUUUCAAAUAAAAGUUGAAGUUUUUUUUGAAAUAUUAUAAAUAAAUACAAAUUUAAAAUCUAAACAUCAAAUUUAUAGUUCAAAUUGCAUUGCCAAACACCUGUUUAGUACUUGCAGUUUAUUUUAAAAUAAAGAAAAACGGGAGAAUGAUCGCAUUUCCAGUGUAAUGAAUAACUUUUUCAAGUGGCAACAAUUUUGUGGACUCUAAUAACAAACUAAUUUGAUAAAUCCAGGAUCCAUUUUAUGGUGGGUCUUCUGAAAUUAAAAAUUGAGUUCACCACUCAAGUCCAAAAGAAAAGGUCUCAAAGGACAAUGUUGGAACUAUUGCACUAGUACCUAUAUAGGGGAAAUUUUAGAAAUAACAAACUUGAGUUUAUAAUUACUUCUUCCAUAAUAAUACUUUGCUAGUUACAUUCCUUGUGGUGUUCACGGUUUGAUUAAAAAUCAAAUCGAACCGUAAAUCAAAUUAAAUUGAUUAAAAAAAUUUGAUAUUUAGUUAGGUUUGGUUUGGUUUAAUUUUUGACAUGACCUACCCUGGGACCUUGUCCUAAUGGGCGUCCCAAGUUCGAUCAGGAUCGGAGACCACCUCUGUUACCCAACCCAACCUCCAACCUCCAGCCACCUGCCCUGAGUUGGUUGAAUUCCGAGCAUGUAACAAGAUAGUGUAAAAGCUCACAUAAAAGCUCUGGGAUAAGAUCACAACCUCGUCCGAUCCAAUCGAGUCACCAUCCCAUACCAAUAAUCCAACCAUACCAAACCAUACCAAAACAAGGGCCAUAAACUAAUCCAUAAUCAAAGAUAAUGUUCCAAAACGUAAUAUAAUUAAUACCAAAAUGAAAUAUGACGGAACAGUGAGAAAUUAUGUCCGAUGAUGCAGACCUCCCAGCUUAUUCCAAUGCCAAGGUUGACACCUAUGUCCGAAAAAAGAAAUAAUAUUAGAUUCAGAAUAUUAUUGGUAUCUUAUAAACCUAAAUAAAGAAUAUACAAAUUUAUAUGACGUUUUACUAUAACAAAGAAAGUUAUAUAAUAGUUUACUCGAAGUCUUACCAGGUCUAAGCGGAGAGGUUUAUCAAGAACUAAGACAAAAAGAUAAUAGAUUAUCAUAAGUACAGAUCAAAAUAUUUUACUACAAAGACGAAAUAAAAAUAAAAUAAAUUUGGACACAAAAGAACGCUAUUUAUCUAGCUUAAUGAGAAGACCUCGUAGAACUACUAUGUCCUACAAAGAGAUUAAGGAAACAUUAAAUGACCUAUAUUUAGAUUAUAAGAGACUUAAUAAUACAAAAGAAGAUCAUAUAAGACUAGAUCAGCUAAUCACCAUAAUAUCCCGACUAUAAUAUAAAUUGAUAGGAUAUCUCAAAUCUAGGGAUAAAUGAGAAUAUACCUGUGGGGUAGAAGUAUACAACUAAAAUAUUUGUACGUAAAUCGAGAAAUAAUACUAAGAAGAAAGGCGGUAGAAUUAGAAAAAGUUUUAAGUAAUUUUUUGAGUAUACUAGAAUCAUCGAAAACACCAAAAUCAUGACUUUUAAAAGAAUAUAUAAGUGCCUUAAAGGGGGAAUUAGAAGGUAUUAGGAGUGAUAUAGAAUGAUAUAAUAAACAAAUAAGACUUCAUAGAGAACAGUGUAGAGAAAUUAUUCCUUUAGGAUAAAAGUAAGCCACAGUAAAUAAAAAAGAUAUAUGAAAACACAUCCUUUUGCUCGACUAGUACAAAGACCAUAUAAUCAAUUAUAUAAAGAAUUGAAACAACAACAACAACAACAAUAACAACCCAGUAUAUUCCCAUAAAGAAAGAAUUGAAACAAAGAAACGAAAUUUUAAAAAAUAGAACAAACCUUAAUAAAUCAAAUAGAGGUAGUAGAAACUAUAGAAUUAUCAGAAGCAAUUAUAAUUUCAGAACCUAUAAAUCUUUAGACUGCAUAGAUCAUAUAAACUUGUUAAAUUAUAAAUUAGAAGGUAUUAGAUAUUGCAUAGAAUAUAGAAAUAUUAGAAUAAAAUCCAUUAGAGAACAAUGUAUUAGCAAUACUUUUCGUUAGGGUAAGAAUAGUGUUGGAAUUGAUAACUUAAAGAAAUUAGAGUAUUUAGAUCUAAAAAUUCAGAUGGAGAAGAAAUAUAGAUGUUUUAAAGAUAAUUCACUUAUUAGGUGUAAUUUUAACAACGGUGAACAUAUAUUAUAUGGAGAAGAUCCACAACCAAAUACUAUUACAGACCUUAUAAUAAAUCUAGAAGAACUGGUUCAAAAGAAAAUACUAAAAUACUAAAGACUCUAGAAAUAUUUGAAGAUCUGCAAAACAAACAAAAGAAACUGUUAGAUAAAGUAGAAUAAAAUUUUGAUUUCCUAAAGAAUUAACAAGCAGAACUAGAAAAGAAAGUUAAAGAUUUAAUUAAUAAAGAUAAAGAGGGUAACCUAGAACAUCCUGAAAUAAAACUAGUGCUACAAGAAAUAAGAAAAGAAAUGAAUCAAAUAAAAUAAAUAACACUCUCAUGAAUAAUAUUUCUAUAAAUGAUCAACUCUACUUAGCAAUAUUACAAAAGGCAACACAAAUUCAAUCAAACCCCAAAGGAUUAUCAGAUUAUCAACCUCAAGGAAAAGCAGACUCCAUAGUCAUAAAAUUAAAUAAUAUUAUAAUAUUGUUAUUAUUAGAACUUAAUAAAAAUCUAGAAAAAUCAAAACAACAAGUUAGCCAAGAUAAAAAUAUAGAAGAGUUAAUAGAGCAAUUAAAGAAAAUAGAAUUAAUCCUUCUGAAAGAAAAAGAAAAAGCUAAAACGACUAAACCUAAAACAUGGACCUUUUUCCAACAUCCAUAAGCAAGCCAAGAUCAAGUUUUAUCAAAGACAGAUUAACAAAUAGUGUGAUAUCCAAAAUAACAAGUAGACCAAAAAUGACUUCAAGAUAACAACUAGAAGAAAUAGUAGACGUGGAUAAAGAUAUACAAUUAUUCCAACAAAAUAAAUUAAAACUUUUGAGAGCCAAAACUUCAUACAAUGAAGGAAUAUUUUCAACAGCAUAAUUAUAUAGGUGUUAUAGAGAAGAACAACUAUGUGUUAUUAGAGAAAAUAGCUAUAGUAUAAAUUUAAUAAGCACAAACUCUUUAAAAGAAAUUACAAAAUUAAACUUGAGCCUUCUGCACAUGAGACUAAUAGUAAUAGGAUUAAAAGGAUUAACUAGGAAGAACAUAGGAAUUAAAGUAUUGGUUACAAUAUACGAUAAUAGAUGGUCAGAUUCAAAAAGGUCUAUAAUAUAAAUAAUUGAAGUAGACAUGUCAUGUAAUGGAGGACUUUUUUAUUAUAGUCCAGACUAUAUGACAAAUUCUCUAGAAUUUGGAAAGUACAUAAAAAUAGGUAUUCAGACUAAAGGUUAUGAAGAGAUGAAUAAUGGAAAUAACUUACUAAUAUGUGUAGGUUUUAGUGGAAAACUUUCCACUAAUAGUGAUACAAAGUUUAAGUUAAAAAUAGAGGACGUAGUAAGCUUAAUGAGGAAUAAAGGAAUAAGACUAAUAAAGCCAUUAAAGAUAAAUUCAGAAGAAUAUGCACGACUAGCAUAGGAUCUAGAGAAAUUUAGUAAGAAAGAAAUACUAAACCCAACUGAUCAUUUUAUGUAUACGAAUAAAAAAGAAAGAACCUCAGUCAGAUUCACCGACUAUACAUAUACAAAUAAAAGAGAGAUAGAUGAGGAAGCUGAAGCAAGUGAAAAUAAUAACUAUAUGAAUAUAGAAAUAAUAGAAGAAGAUGGUUUCGAAGUAAAUAAGUCCAUAAUGAAAACAGAAUCCCUAUACGAAAUAAAUAACAAUAGAGUGUUUAAAUGUAUAGGCUGUAAAAUAAGAAAUCUAAAGCUUACCGAAGUAAAAAAACAUUUUAUCAAAUGUAAAUUAAGAACAGAUAAUUAUGGUUAUACAUUCAAAAAGAAAAGCAAAAAAGAAGAUUUAGAAAUAAUUUACAGUAUAGAUAAGAUAGAAAGUAUAACUACAAAAAAUUUACCAAGAUAUAGAGUAUUUGGAAUAAAUCCUAAAGAAUAGACAAAACAAAAUAUAAAACCCAGAGGAAGAAGAAUGCCAAUAAAAGAGCCCAUUAGAUUACAAGAGGGUGGUAAUAAGGAAAAUAUUUUAAAUCUGGCGACUCAUGACCCUCAGACGUGGAAUACUGCAAUAGACCUAUGAAAAAAUCUAGUUGUAGCAAAUUACAUACAAGCUAAUCAAGAACCAGAUAUAGAAAAUAUGUAUAGAUAUCUAGAAACAUUCAUAGGAGAAACUACUAAGCCGUUAUAGGAAGCCUACAAGACAAACUUCUCCGAAGAUUUUCAAAGAUUGGUAGAUUUAGGAUCCAAUCCAUAUAAUUUUGUAAAUAAAGUACAUACUUUACUAAUAGGAGAAGAUCCCAAUAGUGGAUUAAUAGUAUUACAGAAAAAGGCUUUAAUAAAUUUAGAGAAAUUAAGUAUAAAUAAUUGGUCAAAAAUUAAGGAAUUUCUAAAUGAGUAUUUCUAUUAUUGUAUCAUUAGUGGAAACUCCUUUGACUAGUCUCGAGAAAAAAGAUUGUUUAAUAAAUUACUUGGAACCUUAGUAAGAGAAAUAUAAAAAAAUGAUCUAAAAGAGAAGGAGUAGUACAAAACUCGAGACACUAAAUGGUCAACAAGACAGAGAAUACAACAUGUAAUGGAAGUAUUACAAGAAAAGUGUACAAAUACACAAAUACAAAAAUAAUUAAAAAGAAGUGAUACAGAUUUCUAUAAAAAUAUAUAUACUACACAACAAUAUGAUCAAGAUUAUAAGAAAAAAAGAUAUAAAAAACUAUAUAAAAGGGAUUAUUGUCCUAAGAAAAAAAAUUAUUUAAGAAAGUCAAAAGAAAAAAAUCAUUUCUAAACAAAUAGAGACAUAUAAGAAAAUAUAACACCAAUAGAACUUAUAAAAAUAAAUUAGAAUGUUUUACUCAUGGAAGUAUAGAACAUUUAGCAAAUACUUGUCCAAAAAGAAAUAAUAGUAGAUCUAGAAAUGCACAACUAAUAGACGAUGUAAAUGAAAAUCUAAUAAAUAUAGAUGAAUAUAUGUCAGACAACCAAAGCAUAUACUCCAUCAGGAGUAUGGAGGUAUUUGAAGAAAAAAAAAUACCUAUUGGAUUCCUCGGAUUCUGAAGGAGAAGAAUUUAUAGAUGAAGUAGGAUUAGAAAAUAUAAUUCCAAACUAUCAUGAUUUAGUCAACUUUAUAGAAGUCUGUGAACAUGAAUUUGUAAGAGGUAAGAGACUAGACAGUAACCAAUGUUUUAAUUUGGAUGGUUUUCAAGUAAAAAUAAAAGGGCAAAAUGCAGAAAAUGUUAUAUAGAAGGAUGCAUAACUUAUAUAGAAAAAAACUCACAAAUACAAAAACUAGAAAUUUAAAUAGACAGGAACCAAUGAAUAAAAUAACGGAUUAUAAAAUAUUAGAACUAGAAGAAAGACAAAGAAGGUUGGAAAUAAGAAUAAAUAGACUCGAGAAAAAUAAAGAAGUAAUUAAGGAAGAAGAAGUAUUAGAAAUAAAAUUAUCGAGUACAUCCGUGAAGGAAAUAGUGGAUAAUCAAAAUAAACAGAAAAAAAUCAAUGAAUAUACCAUUCGAAGGAAUGAUAAGUAAUGGAGAUAAAAAGAUUAGUACAGUCAAAGUUUUAACAAGAAUAAGGAUUCAAAAUUAUGAGUUUGAAACAUUAGCCAUAGUAAAUUCAGGAUGUACAUGAAGUAUAUUAAAAGACUUAAUUUUGCCACCAUGACUAAUUAAAGAAUUACUAAAGCCACAAGACUCCAUGCCAAUGGAUGGAACUUAUAACACCUAUACAAAGUAUAUACCAAGAGCAAAAGUAAGUUUUAUUAACACUUGCAAAAAAUUCUAUCAGUCAUUAUUUAAACUUAAUGGAAUACUGGUUAGAGACUUAAACAUAAAGGCAGACUUUGUGUUAGGAUUAGAUUUUAUGGUACGAAAUAAUGGAGGAUGUUUUGAUACUAGAGAUUGGAUAAUUUUUGAGAGUAAUAUUACUCAUUCACUAGUAUAGACAUGACCUAUACUAACUAAUUAUAGUUUUCUUAAGGAUAAAUCAGAAGAAGAAAGCUCAAAUAGUCAAAUAAAACCCGACAAAUCACUAGAAUGUGAUAAGGGAGAAAAUUGUACAUGUAGUAACAAUAAAAAGAUAACAAUGUAUGAACAAUUAAAAGAUUUAUUAACAGUAGAAGAAUUAGAAAAAGACUACACUAUAAUAGAAAUGGAUAUAAAAUUAUACAAUUUUCAGAGAGAAAUACAACUGAUAGGUGUAAUGCCCCGUAAUUUGGGCUAUAAUAUAGACCAUGAUUUCGAUGUGUUGUUAAUCCCAAAGCUAUAAAAUCCUAUCCUGAUACGGCAUGUUAAUUAUUGUGUGGCAUGUGAAUCUACUCAAGCUUGAGUUUAGACCAUAGAGGUCCUUCAACUCAAGGGCGAGUUGAAACUAUUUCGAUCGACUAAGUUUUAGUGGAUGUUGUAAAGUGUGUCAGCUUCCAUCAAUCAUAAAUCUCUGUAUAUGUCGAAUUAGGAAGCCUACUAUGUGUCAAAUGAUAGGUAUUAGAGUUAGCUUUCCAACGAUACCAAUUUGGCUAUAAUCCGACACCCGAGUAAGAAGUUAUGGCCCUUCAAAGUGAUAAGCGUCGCCUAACCAUCGCCCAUGGCCACCAGAAGGCAUAGGAAAUAGCCUACGUGGCGCCUAUGUAAACAUAGGUGAUAGCCUAGGCGGCGCCUAUGUGAACAUAGGCAAUGGGAUGGGCGGUGCCUAUGUAAAGAAUUCUAGUGACUUAAACACUCCGUGUUGAGGACAAAGUGGUCCUUUUCCACCCUUACUUAGCCCUAAAACACGAAAUCUAAUUCUAAGGACCCCAAAAUACAUAUUAUUUCAUCAAAACUGCUUAAGGAUUCUCCUUAGGGUUUUAAAAUAAAAAUCCAAAUAGUUUAAGAUUUGACCGUAGGUUUUCAAAGGUAAUUACUGAUAACGCUCAAUCUACAGCUCUCGUGGGAGUGUAAAGCGGUCGUUAGCAAAUAUAGAACCCAACCUGGGUUGGGUAUCGAUCCCACAGAGAAUAGCUUGGCCAACAAGCAAGAGAAAUUACUAGACUUUUAGUGCAAGUCUCGUAGGAAAGGGGGGAUUGUAGUAUGUAACCAAAACAAGAAGGUAAGAACUGAAAAUAGCAAAAUAAAGAGAGAUUGUCACGUGUGUUGUAAACAAUGAGAAUUGAGGCGUUGGGGUUAUGUCCACCUUCUGAGGUAUACGUCUCUAUUGGCUAUGAGUGUGUAGAGUCUUGACAUGUAAUUGCUUAUAGAGAAUUGUAGUCGAUGGUAAAUCCAAGCGUCUCUCGACCUAAACAAGGACUAUUUCACUUUAACUCUCUCGAGCUUAAAGCGUGACUAACGGUACGAAUUCUCCAAGAAGUUAGUCCAGGUACGGCACUAGCUUUUUAAUAGGAAAGGGUGUCCUACUACCUUGACAUUAUCUCUUUUCCAGACAAAUAACUUUUCUCUCGAACAAGUCAGAUGUUAGACUGGCGUUGGUCUAUGCGUCUUCUUUUCUAGACAAAUAACCUUUCUCUCGAACAGGUUAGAUGUUAGAAUGGCGUGUUCUUGUGUUUGAACCGCAAAGAAUGUAGAUUUAAGAUGAAGAGAAUAAUGAUAUAAGCAAUAUACUUGUCUUGAACUCACAAACUCAUAGCUAUAGAUAGUAACUCAUUCGGCUUCCAUAACCCCAACUAAGAGAUUUAGUUACCCAUGAAUGCGAAGGAUAUCACGUUUUGCAUGGUGGAUGGCGUGAAUAGUAGGUGUUUGGCGUGUGGUUUUAGUGAUUCCGUAGCAAGUAACAAUUCUCUUGUUGUGGAAUUUAAGAGUAGAAGAAUGAAGAAUUGAGAAUGGGUUGUAGGAAGAUGUCUUAAUUGUAAGGAGAUGAAUGAAUUGUCAGAAUGUCUCCCUUCUUGAAAAUCUCUAACAUGAUAGGGUAUUUAUAAUACUCCUAUCCUACUCCUACUAAACUAAUAAAAUAAAUAACCAAAUCCUAAUAUACUAAUGAAAUCCUUGACCCAAUUGUACUAGGGUAAGGUUACAAAAUUAUAAUCCAAAUAGAAUGAUGAAACACAUAACCUAAUUGCACUAGGUUAAUGUAUUAUGGCAAAAAUCCAGCUUUGUGUCUGUAAGUCCCAAAGUCUUCAGAAAUGCUGUUUUAGCCCGGGACAGAUUUUCCAUGCAGCAGAUUUAGUCCUUUAUGCGUCCAGCUCCUUUCCAUCUCGUUUGUGAGCUUUCUUUUGCGUCAAGUAAGCCAUAAAUUGCUGUAUUUUGCAUCAUUUAUACCUGAAACUUUCCUAAUCACAUUUGUUAGCUCAUUUACAGGAAAAAGGACUAAAAGUGUACGAAAUAGAUAAUUAGUUCUCGAAACUAGGCUAAAAUAUGGGCAAAAUAUAUUGAUAUAGGCGCGUAAUUUCGCCUAUCAUCAACACCCCACACUUAGAGCUUUGUUCGUCCUCGAACAACAUAUCAUGUCCUUCUAAGCAUUGACUUAAGGUUUUUACAGAAACAACACAAAACAUUCUUCAAGACAAGCACAACAAUUAUCAACGAAGAGUAGCUUUCCGAUUAUAAGUAGAAACAAUUUAACCUCAAGCAUAGACUCGUGAUGGUGAUCAACUCGCAUGCAAACGUUUAAGGUACAUAGAAUCAUAUACAACUAUCCAAAACUCAUCAACCAUGUGUGUCUCACAAUAUAGUACCCAUAAUCACUCACAAGUAUAGCAUAUUUUUCAAACAUGGGCAGCAAAGUAUCCUUGCGCUCACUCUCACAAAGAAUUCAUAUGUAGCAGCUAAUGACCAUAGGCUUGCCCUUAAUGUAGUACUCCACUAAAUGUCGGAAUGUUAAGGUUAGGAUCAAGUAGGUCUUUUGAUGGUUGUAAUGUAGGCUAAGGGACGGGUAGGAUCAACUAUUUUGGCCAGAAAUAGUGACUAAGUUCCUAAGCACUUUAAUACAUCACAUUGUAUUAUUGACACUUUUUUGUAGCACCCUUGUUCUCCUCUUUUGUUUUUCAAUUUUAAAGCACAACUCACUUUUCAGCUUUCUUUUCCUUUUUCUUCUCACAACAUACCUCUUAUGAUAGCACUUUCUUUUUCAUAACAUAUUCAAGCACCAUUACAAUUUAAAGCAUCAUACUCAACCAAUUUCCUCUUAUGUUGUCACAUGACUUUUUCACUUUAAAGCACUUAGGAAUUUGGAUCAAAUUACGGUCUUGAAAAAAAAAUGAAUUAGGCUUACAUACAAGGUUGUCAAAGAAAUAGGCUAAAGGCUCAAAAGGGUUUAACUAGGAUGAUGUCCAUGGGUAGGUAAAACUGAAGGUAAACAAAUAUAGGUUGCCAAAGAAAUGCCUAAAUCAUAUCCUAAACUUACACUCCUUAUUUUCGCUUUGCAUACAUACCAGGCAAGUUCUAGCAUCAGCCACAUACAUAGAAUAUACUAUUAUCUCACACACACAAGGCACAUGGUCGACUUGAUUGGUAGCAAUAUAGACUCUCAACCCAACAAGUGAAGGAAUUGAAUCACACACUAUCACAUAAUGAGUCACAACUAGAGCCUAAAUGUCUCAAUAGUCACAAUUGUAAUACAUACUAUUGUUAUAAUCUCAUGCUGCCUAUUAAAAUAAUUUCAUGCGAGGCUAGAAAAAUUUUAACUACUAAAAACUAAAAAAAAAACGUCACACGAAAAAAAUCACAAAAAAAAAUCGGACUCAAAACAAAAUAAAUAAAACAAAAUAAACAAGCAAACAUACAAAUAUAGCAUGCAGAUUCUGCCGACACCCCACACUUAGACUAGACACUGCCCUCAGUGGAAAAUAAAGUCGAAGAACCUGAUUAGUCGGACUCUUCCUCAAUGUCAUACCCCCUUCGUUCGAGUCAUCGUAAGAGUCAUCGUCAGAGUUCUCCUCAGCAUCAGAAUCAGGCAAGCGUCUAUCAUCAUCAGUUGGCACGUCAUCAUCAAGAGGUUCCUCGAAAUAUACUCCCACUCCACACAUCUCCCGGGCAUGUCUGUUCAUUGGGUAGUCGUGGUCCAGCUGUUGGAGCUCUUCAGCAGUUGGAAUACGUCCACCACUCAUCAUAGUGAAUCUCGUCAUGCCAUAGAGAUGACGGAAGAAACUCUCGUCACGAGCAUGUCUCUCCGCAGUGGUAAGGUUGACUCCAUGCGUUGUUUCAGCAUCUUUGACCUUGGUGAGGUCAACCUUCUUUGGGGUAUGUGGGAGUUUGUGGUCAGCUGGUUCCUCCUCUAUAUCCUCCUUCCGCAACAUUGCUGUCAACAAAUUGCCGAAUGUGAAAUAGGACCAUUCACAUUCACAUCAGUCUGGCUUUCCUCAUGGUGGAUCGAAUGAUUGCCCCAAAGUUGAUAGGGACAUUCGUCAUUAAUGAAUAAACCAGGCACACUCUAUCUCUCGAUAUCUUUGUGUAUUGCGUCCCAGGAAUGAGGCAUGAGUUGACAAUGCGCAUCCAGAUUCUUGCUUCCCUAUUUAGUGGAGCAUAGGGGAAUGUGUUGUGACGGCCUGUUUCCUUAUGUCUGCCCCAUCUCGCCAUCGAUCUGCUUCCACAAAGCGUGUGUCUUAUAGCUCUGUAAGGAGGUCUGCUGUACAGCUCUUUGUAUGGUGCAGUGUCGACCGAAGGUAGGCCUAGAAACGAGUUGAUCCAAUCCGCUGUAAGCUGUAACACUUGGCCCCGAAUUUUGACUUCGUUGCCUGUUGUGUUUGGCGACCAGUUGGCAUAAAACUCUCUUGUCAAGUCAAGAUUGCACUCUCCCAUGUCACGGAAGAUGAAAUCCAGCUUCAAAGCCAUAAUCUUAGCCAACAUUUGCGGCUCCUUCUUUGCUAAGGUCUCCUUAUUGAUUAAGUCGACGUGCACAUAUUUCUUUUCUUUGUUGCUGCUGUACCAUGCCUUGGCUUCUUCCUCAAGAACCCAUUUGAUUCCGAACAUUCUGCGUGGUAGGUGUGCGGAAGAUGAUUCGCCUUGGUCUUUUCGGCUUCUCUUUUUGUCCUUGCGGGUUGUGGUAGCCUUCUCCUUGCCUUGCCUUGCUUUCGGUGCCAUUGUACCGCCUUUACCAUACAACGCGACCAAAUCGUCAAUUGAAAUCAAUCUCCUCGUUGCAUACUUCUUACACCUAUAUUUGCUCAAACAAAUGAAAACGAUUAGUACGAUGGGUUGCCUCCCACCAAGCGCCUUAGUUUUGGUCGUGGCACGACUCUUAUUUUUGGAUUUUCAUUUAUCAAAAAGAAAAAAUACUAAAACGACAAAACGAUAAAACAAUAAAACGAAGGGUUGCCUCCCAUCUAGCGCCUUAUUUAUUGUCGUGGCUCGACGUAGUAAUCUCGAGUACUUAGACUUCGUCGAGAUAAGUGAUGGCCAUGUCAUUUAUCGAGUCAAGAGGACCGAUAUAUGGCUUAACACGUUGGCCAUUCACCUUGAAGAUAACACCCUCAUUAUUUUCCAAUUCGACUACUCCAAACGAGUAGACGUGGGUGACUUUAAAUGGACCAGACCACUUUGAUUUUAACUUACCUGGGAAGAGCUUGAAUCUGGAGUUAAAGAGUAGCACCAUGUCACCUUUUUGGAAGUGUCGUCGAACAAUCCGCUGAUCGUGAUACUUCUUCAUCCGCUCCUUGUAUAAAUCUGAUCUUUCAUAAGCAUGGAGACGGAAUUCAUCUAGCUCGUUCAGCUGCUCCAACCUCAGGUUCUUCACAUCAUCCCAAUUCAGAUUCAAGUGCUUCAAUGCCCAUAAUGCCUUGUAUUCAAGCUCGAUGGGUAGAUGACAAGCCUUCCCAUAAACUAGCUGAUAAGGUGACAUGCCAAUGGGUGUCUUGAAUGCAGUCCUAUACGCCCAUAGUGCAUCAUCUAGCUUCCGAGACCAAUCCUUCCGAUUCGCAUUGACCGUCUUGGCAAGGAUUUGCUUGAUCUCCCGAUUGGAAACCUCUACUUGUCCACUAGUUUGGGGAUGAUAAGGCGUAGCUACCUUGUGUUGCUUGACUCCAUACUUGGCCAAUACAGAUUUGAAUAGCUUGUUGCAGAAGUGAGAUCCUCCAUCACUUAUGAUAGUACGAGGUACCCCAAAGCGAGAGAAGAUAUUCUUCUUUAAAAACGCUACAACACGCUUUCCUUCAUUAUCGGCCAAUGCUACAGCUUCAACCCAUUUCGACACAUAAUCCACAGCAACCAAGAUGUACUUCAUUCCAAACGAAUUUACGAAUGGUCCCAUGAAAUCAAUACCCCAUACAUCAAAGAGUUCUACCUCCAGGAUUGUGGACAUGGGCAUUUCAUGGUGUUUUGAAAUAACACCUUGACGUUGGCAUUGGUCACACCUUCUCACAUAGUCGUGUGCAUCUCUGAAUAUUGUAGGCCAAUAAUAACCACUUUGCAAGACUUUUCUUGCUGUUCGAUUACCCGCAUGAUGUCCUCCAACUUGCGAAGUGUGGCAUGCUUCUAAUAUAGUGGGCACUUCGUCAUGGGAUAUACAUCGUCGAAUGAUACCAUCCGCACAUCUUCGAAACAAAUAAGGCUCAUCCCAAUAAUAGUGCUGAACGUCAUGCAUAAACUUCCUCCUCUGGUGGUAAGAUAAAUUUGUAGGUAACACAUUACUCACCACGAAAUUCGCAAAGUCGGCAUACCAUGGUAAGUCUUCUAUUGUUGUCGCUAAUAUCUCCUCGUCAGGGAAUGCAUCGCCAAUCUGAUUUUCUGAUUGCGCCACAUACUCAUUCUCAAGUCUAGAUAGGUGAUCAGCCACUUGGUUCUCGCAACCUCUUCUAUCUUUGACUUCGAAAUCAAACUCUUGCAGCAGCAACACCCAUCGAAUCAGCCUUGGUUUUGCAUCCUUCUUUGUCAUUAGAUACCUAAGAGCUGCAUGGUCUGUAUGAACGAUCACUUUAGUACCUAAUAGGUAGGCGCGGAACUUCUCAAACGCAUACACAACCGCUAAUAGCUCUUGUUCAGUGACGGUGUAGUUCCUUUGGGCUUCAUUGAGGACCUUACUCGCAUAGUAGAUAGGAUGAAAUAAUUUCUCCUUUCUCUGUCCAAGAACAGCACCAACGGCUACACCACUAGCAUCACACAUGACUUCGAACGGGAGCGUCCAAUCUGGUGUUACCAUGAUAGGGGCUUCAACGAGUUUUUCUUUAAGGCAUUCAAAUGCCUUUAAGCAAUCAUCAUUAAAGUCAAACUUCGCAUCUUUCUCCAAUAGCUUGCAUAAUGGACUAGAAAUUUUGGAGAAGUCUUUGAUGAAUCUACGAUAAAACCCAGCAUGGCCAAGAAAACUACGAACUCCCUUCACCGAAAUUGGAGGUGGUAGCUUCUCAAUUACCUCUAUUUUGGCGCGAUCAACCUCUAUUCCUUUUUCGGAGAUCUUGUGCCCAAGAACAAUUCCUUCUUUUACCAUGAAGUGGCACUUCUCCCAAUUCAGCACAAGGUUGAACUCUACACAUCUUUGUAAUGCCAUGCUUAAAUUCACCAAACAUGCUUCGAAAGACUCCCCAACAACUGAAAAGUCGUCCAUAAAUACCUCCAAAGUGUCUUCUACCAUAUCAGAGAAAAUAGACAUCAUACAUCGCUGAAAGGUGGCUGGUGCAUUACAUAACCCGAAUGGCAUACGUUUGAAGGCAAACGUACCAUAUGGGCAUGUAAACGUUGUCUUCUCUUGGUCUUCUGGUGCAAUAAAAAUCUGAUUAUAACCUGAAUAACCAUCAAGAAAGCAAAACCAUCCUUUUCCCGCUAAUCGAUCUAGCAUUUGGUCCAUAAAUGGCAUGGGGAAGUGAUCCUUGAGAGUCCAAGAAUUCAGCUUGCGGUAGUCCAUGCAUACUCUCCAUCCAGUGACGGGCCUGAGUGGAAUAAGCUCAUUCUUUGCAUUCGCAACCACCGUCAUACCUCCUUUCUUGGGAACACAUUGUACUGGGCUUACCCAUGUACUAUCAGAAAUAGGAUACACAACUCCUGCGUCUAACCACUUGAUAAUCUCCUUCUUCACCACCUCUUGCAUUGGUGGGUUUAGACGUCUUUGGUGUUCGAUGGUGGGUGUGCACUUUUCUUGGAGCUGAAUUUUAUGAGUGCAAAUUCCAGGUGGAAUACCAAGGAUAUCCGCAAUGGUCCAUCCAAUAGCUCUAAUAUACUUGCGUAAAAUUGCAAUAAGAGCUGCAACUUGUUGCUCACCUAAAUCGGCUGCCACUAUGACUGGAAGAGUGUUUCCGCUUCCUAAGAAUGCAUACUUCAAAUGGCUUGGCAGCUCCUUUAAUUCUAAUGUGGGUGGUUCUUCAAUAGAUGGCUUAGCUGGUGGUGUGGGUCGAUUCUUGAGAUCAAGAUCCAGCUUCUUAGGAGGAUAGCGAUAUGCUCCUAAUCCCGAUAGAGCACAAAUAUCAUCUUCAGAAAUUUCAGCAUCAUCAUCAUCUUCUUCCAUGAGCAAAACCUCCAAAGGAUCAUCAAGAAUUUGUUCUUCAGCAAGUAACUCAUCCUCGUCAUCAACGACAACAUCAGUCACAGAAAAUACACUUAGAUCUUUGGGUUGCUUCAUUGAUUUGCAAACAUCAAAGCGCACCACUUCAUCAUUUAUUCGGAAUGAAAGUUCAUUAGCUCUCAAAUCUAUGAGCACACUUCCCGUAGCAAGGAAAGGGCGUCCCAAGAUUAUGGGAACCUCUGAAUCUGCUUCGCAAUCCAAGAUGACAAAGUCUGCUGGAAAUAUGAAUGAAGAUACCUUCACCAAGACAUCGCAUAGAAUACCAACCGGUCGUUUUACCGACCUAUCCGCCAUAACAAGCUUCAUAUUAGUUGGUGUAGGAUCUCCCAACCCCAACUUCUUGUAGAUUGAUAAUGGCAUCAAGUUGAUGCUGGCUCCUAAGUCACAUAAUGCUUUAGCAAAGUCCAAAGAUCCGACGGUGCAAGGAAUAGUGAAAGCUCCGGGGUCGGCCUUCUUCUGAACUAUGGAUCGGGUAGCUAUUGCACUACAAUGAUGCACAUCUUCUUUCAGCUCAUAGCUUGCUGCCCUCUUCUUAGUCAAAAGAUCUUUCAUAAACUUCGCAUACCCAGGCAUUUGUUCAAGUGCCUCUACCAAUGGGACAUUAAUAGUCAGCUGCUUCAAGAUGGUCAUGAACUUGCUGAACUUAGUGUCAUCGGCCGCCUUCUUCAGUCUUUGUGGAAAAGGUGGUGGUGGGUAUGGAAGUGUUCUUUCCAUGGCUUUCUUCUCCUCUUGCUUCCGUUUAUUACUUUUUUCAGGCUGCACGUCACUAGGCAACACGUCCUUGACGUUGGAAGUGGAUAUUGCGGCGUCUUCCCUAGUGGCGUCACUAGGUGUGGCGGUUGUGUCUGCUGUUCUGUCAACUAUUUGCUUGCCUUCUGCUGAAGUUUCCAGCACCUUACCACUCCUCGUAGUGAUGGCCAUGCAUGACCCAUCAGUCCUUGGAUUUUGCACCGUAUCGCUAGGCAAGGUGCCGGCUUUUCUUUGGUUGAGUGUUGCUGAAAGUUGACUGAAUUGCUGCUCUAGUUGCUUGAUAGAAGUGGAAUGAGAAUCAACUAAUUGCUUCAUGGAGGCCAAAUCGUCAAUCACCUCCUUAACUCCCGCAUUCGUCGCUUCCACUCCUUUCAAUAACUUAGCCAUCAUGUCUUCCAUAGAAUUAGAUGUGGUGGUAUCACGUCUACCAGGGGGAACGUACAAACCACUGUUUUCAUUAUUUUUCUUCCAACUACCUUGGUCUUUACCUCCAGAUUUGUCAUAAUAGUUCCGACCUUGGUUUCCUUGGGCAUUCCCACGGAAACCCCCCUGAUUGUUCAAGUAGUUGGCCUCCUCUUCUGAAUCAGAUUCGUCUCUUCCUUUUGACGCAAUAGAUUUCACUUUUUCAGUCUUCCCUAAUAGAUGCUUUGUAAGAAGAUCCAUUUGGGUUUUCAUGUGCGCCAUAUCUUGAUCACGUUCUUCUUCUCUCCUUCUUUGAUCUGCAGACAUGCCAAUAGAUAAAGUGGGGCUUGCUACCUCAGAAUCCCUGGUAUGCCAAGCUCUACUUUGUUUCGUCAUACGAUCUAGCAUGUUGCUUGCUUGACCAAAGGUGAGGUCCAUAAAAGAACCUCCAGCUGCGUUGUCCACCACUGGUUUAGUUACUGAAUUCAAGGCUCUAUAUAAGAUCUCCAUGAGGUGAACAUUAGUCAUGUGAUGGUUUGGGCAUCUCGCUAGCUUUGUCUUGAACCUCUCCCAUGUUUCGUGAAGAGCUUCAGAGGGAAGCUGACGAAAGUUGCUGAUUUCAUCUCUCAAUUGAGCCCUCUUGGAUGGCGGAAAGAAUCUUUCUAGGAAAGCGUCUCUCAAUUGCCUCCAAUUUGUAAUAGAAUCAGGAGUCAGCCCAUUCAACCAUAAUGUUGCCUCCCCAGACAGAGACAAUGGAAAUAGACGUAAUCGAAUAGCAUUCUGACCAACUCCAGGAUUGUCAAAAGACUUGCAUGUAGAAAUAAAGUUGAUGAGAUGCAUAUUCGGAUCAUCGCCUGCUAGUCCACCAAAUAAUCCCUUGAGUUGCAAUAACUGAAUCAUGGUGCUAGUGAUGUUGAACUUGGCUCCGGGCGCUAAUGGUGGUGGAAUUAUAGCUCCAGUGGCUCCGGCACCAUCAAGAUCAUCAUCAUCAUCGUCGAAAGCUGGUUGCAAAGGUUGGCGAUCAUAUCUGUACCGAGCUUGUCGACCUCGUCUGUUGGUAGGUGUUGCCAUUUCAGCGCCAUGCCUUGGGUUGAUCAACUCGUCAUCUCCUAAAUCUUCAUCGUCAGGAUUUGUUGCUCGUCCAGGAUUAUCAAUGUUUUGUUGUUGGACUUGAGCAGCGGCAAGAGCAGCUAAUCUUGCUUGCUCAUGUUGAGCAGCCAUCCUGUCGAUUUCCGCUUGUGCUUCCAUUCUUCUGAUUCGUUGUGGUUCCGGAUUGAUUGGUAAUAACGGUUGACCAGAACUUCUAGUAUGGGGCAUGCACUAAAAGAAAAACCUGCAAUAAACAAAAACAAAAACUAAACGUAAAAGUACGAGAAUCUUUGACCAAAGGGUCUAGUAAUUUUCACGAACUUGAUUGACACUCGUAUUCCCCGGCAACGGCGCCAAUUUUUGAUAACGCUCAAUCUACAGCUCUCGUGGGAGUGUAAAGCGGUCGUUAGCAAAUAUAGAACCCAACCUGGGUUGGGUAUCGAUCCCACAGAGAAUAGCUUGGCCAACAAGCAAGAAAAAUUACUAGACUUUUAGUGCAAGUCUCGUAGGAAAGGGGGGAUUGUAGUAUGUAACCAAAACAAGAAUGUAAGAACUGAAAAUAGCAAAAUAAAGAGAGAUUGUCACGUGUGUUGUAAACAAUGAGAAUUGAGGCGUUGGGGUUAUGUCCACCUUCUGAGGUAUACGUCUCUAUUGGCUAUGAGUGUGUAGAGUCUUGACAUGUAAUUGCUUAUAGAGAAUUGUAGUCGAUGGUAAAUCCAAGCGUCUCUCGACCUAAACAAGGACUAUUUCACUUUAACUCUCUCGAGCUUAAAGCGUGACUAACGGUACGAAUUCUCCAAGAAGUUAGUCCAGGUACGGCACUAGCUUUUUAAUAGGAAAGGGUGUCCUACUACCUUGACAUUAUCUCUUUUCCAGACAAAUAACUUUUCUCUCGAACAAGUCAGAUGUUAGACUGGCGUUGGUCUAUGCGUCUUCUUUUCUAGACAAAUAACCUUUCUCUCGAACAGGUUAGAUGUUAGAAUGGCGUGUUCUUGUGUUUGAACCGCAAAGAAUGUAGAUUUAAGAUGAAGAGAAUAAUGAUAUAAGCAAUAUACUUGUCUUGAACUCACAAACUCAUAGCUAUAGAUAGUAACUCAUUCGGCUUCCAUAACCCCAACUAAGAGAUUUAGUUACCCAUGAAUGCGAAGGAUAUCACGUUUUGCAUGGUGGAUGGCGUGAAUAGUAGGUGUUUGGCGUGUGGUUUUAGUGAUUCCGUAGCAAGUAACAAUUCUCUUGUUGUGGAAUUUAAGAGUAGAAGAAUGAAGAAUUGAGAAUGGGUUGUAGGAAGAUGUCUUAAUUGUAAGGAGAUGAAUGAAUUGUCAGAAUGUCUCCCUUCUUGAAAAUCUCUAACAUGAUAGGGUAUUUAUAAUACUCCUAUCCUACUCCUACUAAACUAAUAAAAUAAAUAACCAAAUCCUAAUAUACUAAUGAAAUCCUUGACCCAAUUGUACUAGGGUAAGGUUACAAAAUUAUAAUCCAAAUAGAAUGAUGAAACACAUAACCUAAUUGCACUAGGUUAAUGUAUUAUGGCAAAAAUCCAGCUUUGUGUCUGUAAGUCCCAAAGUCUUCAGAAAUGCUGUUUUAGCCCGGGACAGAUUUUCCAUGCAGCAGAUUUAGUCCUUUAUGCGUCCAGCUCCUUUCCAUCUCGUUUGUGAGCUUUCUUUUGCGUCAAGUAAGCCAUAAAUUGCUGUAUUUUGCAUCAUUUAUACCUGAAACUUUCCUAAUCACAUUUGUUAGCUCAUUUACAGGAAAAAGGACUAAAAGUGUACGAAAUAGAUAAUUAGUUCUCGAAACUAGGCUAAAAUAUGGGCAAAAUAUAUUGAUAUAGGCGCGUAAUUUCGCCUAUCAUCAACACCCCACACUUAGAGCUUUGUUCGUCCUCGAACAACAUAUCAUGUCCUUCUAAGCAUUGACUUAAGGUUUUUACAGAAACAACACAAAACAUUCUUCAAGGUAUUUUUUAUGAACAUGCAUGCUUUAAAAUGGGGGUUUUCAAUCAAAUGCUAAUAUCUUGCUUUCAAUAUAAUUUCUAAGUCAUUUUCUUUAUGUUGUGGGAAUUGUUUGCCUAUAUACUUAAAUUAUUGAAACCAUGCAUAUGUGAUUUGAGAUUUUCCAUGGAAGUUUGAUAAAUAUGAAUGAUAAAUUGUUUUCAAAUUCCCGUGAUAAUGUUUCUAUACUCUAUAUUGUAUUGUGAACAACAAAAGAGAGCAUGAAUUUGAAAUAAAUAUUGUUCACCACUUGUAAAUGAUGAAGCACCUUGGUUUUUACAUGAUUAUGCAUAUGUGGAUGUGAUAUUGAUGACUUGCAAGUCGGGUAUGAAGAUACCCUUCAGAAUACGAUAUCAGAUUGAAUAAGAUGAAAUUUAAAUACAUUGAUUUUACAUGAGAAAGGUGGAUGCCUAAAGAAGGCAUUUGAGACACAAGGGCUCAUCAUUGGAAAACGUGUUUACCGACAUGGAAUAUUGGUACCAGGUUAAGUGAUCUUGUGUACUUGACUUCAUGUCAUUCCCAAAUUGGGACUAUAGGUAGGAGCCCAGGCUAAGUGAUCUCGGGCACUACCAUUAGGUCGAUACACCAUGCUAUGUGAUCUUGUGUGUCUCUCCCUCACUUAUACUCUAAUCUCGGCGGCAACCGAGGUUUGACAGUUGGAGUAAAUCAUGUAGGGUGUUUCACCUAGCUCAGUUGCAUUUCAUUAUUGUUGAGAAAAACUAUUGUAUUACACCCAUGUGCUUUCAAAUGAUUUGAUACGAAAUUGCUUUAUAAUGGCUCUUAACUAUGUAUUGUAAAAAUAUUAUAUUUUAUUUUGAUAUAUCUGUGUGCCAGUACUUUUGUGUUGACCCCCUUCCCUCUCUAACCACUCAGGUUCAGAGGCCCAAUUCAG